UCCCUGGUGGUCCAGUGGCUAAGACUCUGCGCUUCCAAGGCAGAGGGCCUGGGUUCAGUCCCUGGUCAGGAAA
Molecule: transfer RNA, 73 nt
Filed under: Bos taurus (domestic cattle)
Lineage: Eukaryota; Metazoa; Chordata; Mammalia; Artiodactyla; Bovidae
Also listed under: 1 other name
Rfam family: tRNA
About the family: Transfer RNA (tRNA) molecules are approximately 80 nucleotides in length. Their secondary structure includes four short double-helical elements and three loops (D, anti-codon, and T loops).
Source: Rfam by way of RNAcentral